RNAcentral lists this ribosomal RNA (424 nucleotides) under uncultured bacterium. RNAcentral's name for it is "bacterial SSU rRNA". It matches the Rfam family "Bacterial small subunit ribosomal RNA", at positions 355 to 776 of the family's 1533-position model. The record is from RNAcentral.
UGAGGAAUAUUGGGCAAUGGGCGAAAGCCUGACCCAGCCAUGCCGCGUGCAGGAUGAAGGCUCUACGAGUCGUAAACUGCUUUUCUACUGGAAUAAACCUUCCUACGUGUAGGGAGUUGAAUGUACAGCAGGAAUAAGCAUCGGCUAACUCCGUGCCAGCAGCCGCGGUAAUACGGAGGAUGCAGGCGUUAUCCGGAUUUAUUGGGUUUAAAGGGUGCGUAGGCGGGAAUGUAAGUCAGUGGUGAAAACCUACAGCUUAACUGUGGAACUGCCAUUGAUACUGCUUUCCUUGAGUCCAGUUGAGGUGGGCGGAAUGUGUAAUGUAGCGGUGAAAUGCUUAGAUAUUACACAGAACACCGAUUGCGAAGGCAGCUCACUAAACUGUCACUGACGCUGAGGCACGAAAGCGUGGGGAUCAAACAGG